CCUACGGGGGGCAGCAGUGGGGAAUAUUGCACAAUGGGGGAAACCCUGAUGCAGCGACGCCGCGUGAGUGAAGAAGUAUCUCGGUACGUAAAGCUCUAUCAGCAGGGAAGAAAAUGACGGUACCUGACUAAGAAGCCCCGGCUAACUACGGGCCAGCAGCCGCGGUAAUACGUAGGGGGCAAGCGUUAUCCGGAUUUACUGGGUGUAAAGGGAGCGUAGACGGCAGCACAAGUCUGGAGUGAAAUCCCGGGGCUUACCCCCGGAACUGCUUUGGAAACUGGCCGGCUGGAGUGCAGGAGGGGUCAGCGGAAUUCCUAGUGUAGCGGUGAAAUGCGUAGAUAUUAGGAGGAGCACCGGUGGCGAAGGCGGCUUACUGGACUGUACCUGACGUUGAGGCGCGACCGCGUGGGGAGCAAACAGGAUUAGAUACCCCAGUAGUC
RNAcentral lists this ribosomal RNA (440 nucleotides) under uncultured bacterium. Its description in RNAcentral is "partial 16S ribosomal RNA". It matches the Rfam family "Bacterial small subunit ribosomal RNA", at positions 338 to 795 of the family's 1533-position model. The record is from RNAcentral.